GUGCUAUAAGAAAUGUCCUAAUUUUAAUAUACCUUUAUCUUGUGAUUGAACAACCUAAUUAGUGCAUAUUCUAUGCUGAAUUUUAUUGUGUCUCAAAUGUAUAUGAAAAUGCAUUGUUGCAAGCCAAACGUUUGGAAAUGAGAAACUAUUUUGUUCAGCGUAUAAUCUCUCUCUCUCUCUCUCUCUCUCUCUCUCUCUCUCUCUCUCUCUCUCUCUCUCUCUCUCUCUCUCUCUCUCUCUCUCUCUCUUCGCUGGUCUAUCAUGAUUAUCAUCGUAUGUGUUGCUGUAAAUAGUGCAUGACUAGAUAUUGAAUUAAUAUACUGUAAUUUAAAGUUGCAGGACCCCACUGAAAAACAUUUCGGUGAUGUGGGUAUCCUGGAUAAAUAUGAAGACAAU
Molecule: non-coding RNA, 396 nt
Organism: Paramuricea clavata
Lineage: Eukaryota; Metazoa; Cnidaria; Anthozoa; Malacalcyonacea; Plexauridae
Source: the annotation of a GenBank genome assembly